UUUUUGCUCCCUCCGUCCCAAAUUUUUUGUCUUAGAUUUGUCUAGAUAUGGAUGUAUCUAACACUAAAACGUAACUAGAUACAUCCGUAUUUAGACAAAUGUAAGACAAGAAUUUUGGGACGGAGGGAGUAGUAA
Molecule: non-coding RNA, 135 nt
Organism: Triticum aestivum (bread wheat)
Lineage: Eukaryota; Viridiplantae; Streptophyta; Magnoliopsida; Poales; Poaceae
Source: Rfam